RNAcentral lists this small RNA (821 nucleotides) under Pongo abelii (Sumatran orangutan). Its description in RNAcentral is "retained intron". Lineage: Eukaryota; Metazoa; Chordata; Mammalia; Primates; Hominidae. The record is from RNAcentral.
GCGGGCGGCGGGCGGCGGAGGCGCGGGGCCUGCUCCCGCCGGCAACAUGGCCAAGACCGUGGCCUAUUUCUACGACCCCGACGUGGGCAACUUCCACUACGGAGCUGGACACCCUAUGAAGCCCCAUCGCCUGGCAUUGACCCAUAGCCUGGUCCUGCAUUACGGUCUCUAUAAGAAGAUGAUCGUGAGUUCCGCCGCCUCGGCCGGGGGUUGGGGGGUGGGGCGAGCUGUGGCCGUAGGGAUAGGUGGGCUGGACUGAGUGCAUGAAGUGCGACCCGCCCCUAGAGUAGUGGGGAGCUGAGUAGAAGACGCCAGGAGUACCUUGAAAGUGCAGGGUGUUAGGGGUGGCGUCCUCUGCUUAAUGGAAAGUACUUUCUCACCUCAGGUCAUCCACCCUCUGACUAUAGGCACACUAGCCCUUGGCCUAGGGUUAGGGUGAUGUGGGGCUGGUUUGAAGACAGAAGGUGUGUUCCUCCUCUGCAUUUGAGUGUGGAUAGGGCCUUGGCCUCAGGAAUUAGGGUUAGGGGAGCGGAUAUCACUGUAUCAGGGUGUGAGGUUUACCCUCAGUUCCCACUCCUCUUUUACCACCUUUCUUUACCUCCAAGGAGCUAGGGUUCCAGGGUGGAACGAUGCUGCCGUGUUUGUAAAUGUGUAUGUGCGUGUGGAACAGAGGAGAUAUCUUAGGUAAUCCUUUUUCAGCCUGGAAUACCUCUACAUGGUUCUGCUUAAUCGCUAUCCAGUUUUUCAUCUACCAGACAUACACAUGCUGUCUUCCCAGCUUGGAAUUUAUGGCUGUGAUAUGGGAUAGUAACAGUUAAGCC